Molecule: ribosomal RNA, 448 nt
Filed under: uncultured bacterium
Lineage: Bacteria
Description: bacterial SSU rRNA
Rfam family: Bacterial small subunit ribosomal RNA
Source: RNAcentral
UCGAGAAUCUUCGGCAAUGGGCGCAAGCCUGAUGCAGCGACGCCGCGUGGGGGAUGAAGGCCUUAGGGUCGUAAACCCCUUUCAGCAGGGACGAAAAUGACGGUACCUGCAGAAGAAGCCCCGGCCAACUACGUGCCAGCAGCCGCGGUAAGACGUAGGGGGCGAGCGUUGUCCGGAUUUAUUGGGCGUAAAGAGCUCGUAGGCGGUUGCGUAAGUCGGAUGUGAAAACUCAGGGCUCAACCCUGAGACGCCAUCCGAUACUGCGCUGACUUGAAUCCAGUAGGGGAGUGUGGAAUUCCUGGUGUAGCGGUGAAAUGCGCAGAUAUCAGGAGGAACACCCAUGGCGAAGGCAGCACUCUGGGCUGGUAUUGACGCUGAGGAGCGAAAGCAUGGGUAGCGAACAGGAUUAGAUACCCUUGUAGUCCCUGAGCGGGCUGGCAAGGCGCAU